GGGAUGCAGCACUCCACUUUUCUUAUGGUGCAUCCCGGCAAAUCAAAGGAGGAACAAGUGUCCGCUAUGGCUGGCGGUGCGGCAGUGUGGAGACCUGUCGUAAGGCGUUGCGGAGCAAUCCCGGCGCGAAGCCGUUUUUUGCGGAGGCAAAGCGGUUACAGUCAAAAGAAUAUGGCA
Molecule: non-coding RNA, 177 nt
Filed under: human gut metagenome
Description: malK-I RNA
Rfam family: malK-I RNA
Source: RNAcentral